This 875-nucleotide long non-coding RNA is filed under the name Coffea arabica (coffee). RNAcentral's name for it is "long non-coding RNA (CARA_LNC002523)". Lineage: Eukaryota; Viridiplantae; Streptophyta; Magnoliopsida; Gentianales; Rubiaceae. The record is from RNAcentral.
CCAUUUACAGUAGUAUGUUUCUUUAGACUACAAUUCCUCCAGAGUAAAGCUUCCGUGAGAGAACCUGUUUAAUAAGGAGAUCAAGACAUGAUAUCCUUUUAUGAUCGAACCUUAAUCUUAACAACUGAAACUUAUAUGAGCAUGAAUAUCCAAUUCUCAAAAGAAUGUAAAAGAUACAGAAGCGUUCGAACAGGGAGUUUUUAGGUGCUUGUAAAACAUUUCUAAAACCAACACAACCAUCUUUUAGAGUAGUUGGCCAUCACAGGUGCAGAUCAAGGGAUCGAAACCUUGACUUGCAUUCAUCUCUAGGAUUUCCUGAAAGUUUUACAAGCGGCUGUAUUGAUCCGUAGAAGUAGAAUAGAAAAGUUACCCUGUCCACAAAAACAAAAGUGUUUUAUUUUAUGAGUUUCUUGGAUAUUUUCAAAGCCCACCUCCUUCCCUCGUCCCCUCCGCCUUCGCCACCCGGGAGGCCACCUGCACCCCACUUUUCCGUCCGUUACCUCCACCCCACCGCACCCCUUCCCCGUAUUGCAGCAACUUACAGGCCCCAUCACUCUGUGACUGUGUUUUUUGGGUGGUGUAGGCACCAUAGCGAGCCAAGAGCUGAUGGAGAAGAACAACAAUUGGCUUUCUGAGAUGCCCUUUUUGAGAUUUGAUUUCAGAGCCUCUGUGAAUUUGACAGCUUUUCUGAGACCUUAGCAAUCAAGAAAAAUGGAUAGACUACCAAGUAAUAGUACUGAUAGCACAUCUUUCCCCUGCUGAGGUCUCGGCUGAUUGCGCCGUCAUUGGAGGAUCUGUGGUUUAGGGAUUUGUCCUGGAUCUCUUUUACAUUUAUACAGACCUCUUUAAAAAAAAACAAAUAAAUGGUUAAUUGC